RNAcentral lists this non-coding RNA (21 nucleotides) under Rattus norvegicus (Norway rat). The record is from RNAcentral. Lineage: Eukaryota; Metazoa; Chordata; Mammalia; Rodentia; Muridae.
AAAGAAAAGUAACGGUGUCGA